CAUUGGGUUUAAAGGGUGCGCAGGCGGAUUGGUAAGUCAGGGGUGAAAUCCACAGCUCAACUGUGAACUGCCUUUGAUACUGUCAGUCUAGAGUAUAGUGAAGUAGGCGGAAAUGUGUCAUGUAGCGGUGAAAUGCUUAGAUAUGACACAGAACACCGAUCGCGAAGGCAGCUAGCUAAGCUAUAACUGACGCUCAUGCACGAAAGCGUGGGGAUCAAACAGGAUUAGAUACCCUGGUAGUCCACGCUGUAAACGAUGAUUACUCGAUGUUGGCGAUACACAGUCAGCGUCUGAGCGAAAGCAAUAAGUAAUCCACCUGGGGAGUACGAUCGCAAGAUUGAAACUCAAAGGAAUUGACGGGGGCCCGCACAAGCGGAGGAGCAUGUGGUUUAAUUCGAUGAUACGCGAGGAACCUUACCUGGGCUCGAACGUAAGAUGACUGUAGGUGAAAGCUUACAUCUCUUCGGAGCAUUUUACGAGGUGCUGCAUGGUUGUCGUCAGCUCGUGCCGUGAGGUGUCGGGUUAAGUCCCAUAACGAGCGCAACCCCUACCUUUAGUUGCCAUCAGGUCAUGCUGGGGACUCUAAAGGAACUGCCUACGCAAGUAGUGAGGAAGGCGGGGAUGACGUCAAAUCAGCACGGCCCUUACGUCCAGGGCUACACACGUGCUACAAUGGCCGAUACAGAGGGCAGCUACCUGGUGACAGGAUGCAAAUCUCCAAAGUCGGUCUCAGUUCGGAUCGGAGUCUGCAACCCGACUCCGUGAAGUUGGAUUCGCUAGUAAUCGCGCAUCAGCCAUGGCGCGGUGAAUACGUUCCCGGGCCUUGUACACACCGCCCGUCAAGCCAUGGAAGCUGGGGGGACCUAAAGUCGAUAACCGCAAGGAGUCGCCUAGGGUAAAACCAGUGACUGGGGCUAAGUCGUAACAAGGUAGCCGAAUCGA
This 942-nucleotide ribosomal RNA is filed under the name uncultured Lentimicrobium sp. Its description in RNAcentral is "bacterial SSU rRNA". It matches the Rfam family "Bacterial small subunit ribosomal RNA", at positions 552 to 1508 of the family's 1533-position model. Lineage: Bacteria; Pseudomonadati; Bacteroidota; Bacteroidia; Bacteroidales; Lentimicrobiaceae. The record is from RNAcentral.